GCCGAUUAAGUGUUCAUCAGCACAUUGACUUUUCGCGUCAAAAGAGCAUAAAAUGCACUUGGCU
This 64-nucleotide transfer RNA is filed under the name Pleurobema oviforme. RNAcentral's name for it is "tRNA-Glu". Lineage: Eukaryota; Metazoa; Mollusca; Bivalvia; Unionida; Unionidae. The record is from RNAcentral.